RNAcentral lists this ribosomal RNA (460 nucleotides) under uncultured bacterium. RNAcentral's name for it is "partial 16S ribosomal RNA". It matches the Rfam family "Bacterial small subunit ribosomal RNA", at positions 338 to 795 of the family's 1533-position model. The record is from RNAcentral.
CCUACGGGUGGCUGCAGUGGGGAAUAUUGGUCAAUGGACGGAAGUCCGAACCAGCGAUGCCGCGUGCAGGAAGAAGGCUCUAUGAGUGGAAAACUGCGGUUGUACAAGGGAAAACCUGGAUACGUGUAUUCAGCUGAAAGUACUGUACGAAUAAGGAUCGGCUAACUCCGUGCCAGCGGCCGCGGUAAGCCGGAGGAUCCAGGCGUUAGCCGGAUUUAUUGGGUGUAAAGGGUGCGUAGGCGGAUUGAUAAGUUAGAGGUGAAAUGUCCGAGCUUAACUCGGGAACUGCCUCUAAUACUGUUGAUCUAGAGAGUAGAUGCGGUAGGCGGAAUGUAUGGUGUAGCGGUGAAAUGCUUAGAGAUCAUACAGAACACCGAUUGCGAAGGCAGCUUACCAAUCUAUAUCUGACGUUGAGGCACGAAAGCGUGGGGAGCAAACAGGAUUAGAUACCCCUGUAGUC